Molecule: ribosomal RNA, 1370 nt
Filed under: uncultured bacterium
Lineage: Bacteria
Description: 16S ribosomal RNA
Rfam family: Bacterial small subunit ribosomal RNA
Source: RNAcentral
UUAGAGUUUGAUCCUGGCUCAGGACGAACGCUGGCGGCGCGCCUAACACAUGCAAGUCGAACGAGCGAGAGAGAGCUUGCUUUCUCGAGCGAGUGGCGAACGGGUGAGUAACGCGUGAGGAACCUGCCUCAAAGAGGGGGACAACAGUUGGAAACGACUGCUAAUACCGCAUAAGCCCACAGCUCGGCAUCGAGCAGAGGGAAAAGGAGCAAUCCGCUUUGAGAUGGCCUCGCGUCCGAUUAGCUGGUUGGUGAGGUAACGGCCCACCAAGGCGACGAUCGGUAGCCGGACUGAGAGGUUGAACGGCCACAUUGGGACUGAGACACGGCCCAGACUCCUACGGGAGGCAGCAGUGGGGAAUAUUGCACAAUGGGGGAAACCCUGAUGCAGCGACGCCACGUGGAGGAAGAAGGUCUUCGGAUUGUAAACUCCUGUCGUUGAGGAAGAUAAUGACGGUACUCAACAAGGAAGUGACGGCUAACUACGUGCCAGCAGCCGCGGUGAAACGUACGUCACAAGCGUUGUCCGGAAUUACUGGGUGUAAAGGGAGCGCAGGCGGGAAGGCAAGUUGGAAGUGAAACCAUGGGCUCAACCCAUGAACUGCUUUCAAACCUGUUUUCUUGACUAGUGCACAGGUACGCGGAAUUCCCGGUGUAGCGGUGGAAUGCGUAGAUAUCGGGAGGAACACCAGUGGCGAAGCCGGCCUACUGGGCACCAACUGACGCUGAGGCUCGAAAGUGUGGGUAGCAAACAGGAUUAGAUACCCUGGUAGUCCACACUGUAAACGAUGAUUACUAGGUGUUGGAGGAUUGACCCCUUCAGUGCCGCAGUUAACACAAUAAGUAAUCCACCUGGGGAGUACGACCGCAAGGUUGAAACUCAAAGGAAUUGACGGGGGCCCGCACAAGCAGUGGAGUAUGUGGUUUAAUUCGACGCAACGCGAAGAACCUUACCAAGUCUUGACAUCCUGCGACGGUGCUGGAAACAGUACUUUCCUUCGGGACGCAGAGACAGGUGGUGCAUGGUUGUCGUCAGCUCGUGUCGUGAGAUGUUGGGUUAAGUCCCGCAACGAGCGCAACCCUUAUGGUCAGUUACUACGCAAGAGGACUCUGGCCAGACUGCCGUUGACAAAACGGAGGAAGGUGGGGAUGACGUCAAAUCAUCAUGCCCUUUAUGACUUGGGCUACACACGUACUACAAUGGCGUUAAACAAAGAGAAGCAAGACCGCGAGGUGGAGCAAAACUCAGAAACAACGUCCCAGUUCGGACUGCAGGCUGCAACUCGCCUGCACGAAGUCGGAAUUGCUAGUAAUCGCAGAUCAGCAUGCUGCGGUGAAUACGUUCCCGGGGCCUUGACACACCGCCCGUCA